RNAcentral lists this small RNA (108 nucleotides) under Paenibacillus sp. Its description in RNAcentral is "Guanidine-I sequence". It matches the Rfam family "Guanidine-I riboswitch aptamer". From Rfam's summary of the family: This family represents a conserved RNA structure found upstream of the ykkC and yxkD genes in Bacillus subtilis and related genes in other bacteria. The function of this family is unclear although it has been suggested that it may function to switch on efflux pumps and detoxification systems in response to harmful environmental molecules. The record is from RNAcentral. RNAcentral also lists the same sequence under 1 other name. Lineage: Bacteria; Bacillati; Bacillota; Bacilli; Caryophanales; Paenibacillaceae.
UUAUAUGUUCUCUAGGGUUCCGCAGCUGUUAUGCUGGUCUGGUCCGAGGGAGAACGCACGGAGUGAACCAUAGCCGUGUAUACACGGAGGGAUAAAAGCCCGGGAGGU